RNAcentral lists this ribosomal RNA (301 nucleotides) under uncultured bacterium. Its description in RNAcentral is "partial 16S ribosomal RNA". It matches the Rfam family "Bacterial small subunit ribosomal RNA", at positions 509 to 807 of the family's 1533-position model. The record is from RNAcentral.
CAGUCGCCGCGGUAAUACGUAGGUGGCAAGCGUUGUCCGGAAUUAUUGGGCGUAAAGGGCUCGCAGGCGGUUUCUUAAGUCUGACGUGAAAGCCCCCGGCUCAACCGGGGAGGGUCAUUGGAAACUGGGAAACUUGAGUGCAGAAGAGGAGAGUGGAAUUCCACGUGUAGCGGUGAAAUGCGUAGAGAUGUGGAGGAACACCAGUGGCGAAGGCGACUCUCUGGUCUGUAACUGACGCUGAGGAGCGAAAGCGUGGGGAGCGAACAGGAUUAGAUACCCCAGUAGUCCCUGUCUCUUAUAC